RNAcentral lists this transfer RNA (77 nucleotides) under Prevotella sp. RNAcentral describes it as "tRNA-His(gtg)". It matches the Rfam family "tRNA". Rfam says of the family: Transfer RNA (tRNA) molecules are approximately 80 nucleotides in length. Lineage: Bacteria; Pseudomonadati; Bacteroidota; Bacteroidia; Bacteroidales; Prevotellaceae. RNAcentral also lists the same sequence under 1 other name. The record is from RNAcentral.
GUGGCUGUAGUUCAGUUGGUUAGAGCGUCAGAUUGUGGUUCUGAAUGUCGUGGGUUCGAAUCCCACCAGCCACCCCA